CCAUGCCGCGGUGCAGGAUGAAGGCUUCGGGUUGUAAACUGCUUUUGUACGGAACGAAAAGGUCUUUUCUAAUAAAGAAGGCUCAUGACGGUACCGUAAGAAUAAGCACCGGCUAACUACGUGCCAGCAGCCGCGGUAAUACGUAGGGUGCAAGCGUUAAUCGGAAUUACUGGGCGUAAAGCGUGCGCAGGCGGUUAUAUAAGACAGAUGUGAAAUCCCCGGGCUCAACCUGGGAACUGCAUUAGUGACUGUAUAGCUAGAGUGCGGCAGAGGGGGAUGGAAUUCCGCGUGUAGCAGUGAAAUGCGUAGAUAUGCGGAGGAACACCGAUGGCGAAGCAAUCCCCUGGGCCUGCACUGACGCUCAUGCACGAAAGCGUGGGGACAACAGGAUUAGAUACCUGGUAGUCCACGCCCUAAACGAUGUCACUGGUUGUUGGGAAUU
This 442-nucleotide ribosomal RNA is filed under the name uncultured bacterium. RNAcentral describes it as "bacterial SSU rRNA". It matches the Rfam family "Bacterial small subunit ribosomal RNA", at positions 392 to 831 of the family's 1533-position model. The record is from RNAcentral.